AUGCCAAUGGCAUUGCCCGGUAGCUACGUUCGGAACUGAUAAGCGCUGAAAGCAUCUAAGCGCGAAGCAGGCCUCGAGAUGAUUUCUCACUAGACUUUUAAAGUCUCUGAAGGGCCGUUGAAGACUACAACGUUGAUAGGCAAGAUGUGGAAGUGGUGUGAGCCAUUAAGCUAACUUGUACUAAUUACCCGUGAGGCUUAACCAUACAACGCCAAACGCGUUUUG
RNAcentral lists this ribosomal RNA (225 nucleotides) under Pseudoalteromonas agarivorans. RNAcentral describes it as "partial 23S ribosomal RNA". It matches the Rfam family "Bacterial large subunit ribosomal RNA", at positions 2726 to 2925 of the family's 2925-position model. Lineage: Bacteria; Pseudomonadati; Pseudomonadota; Gammaproteobacteria; Alteromonadales; Pseudoalteromonadaceae. The record is from RNAcentral.